AAAAAGUGGUUUAUUUCCAGAGUUUGAAAUCUGAAGAAAUCUGAGCGAAGGACGAAUUUCCUACCCUCAAACAAGUCUAACUCAUUUCAGAACGGUAAUAGGUGAGAAAAAAAUUCUUGAAUUGUGAGCGUCAGGAGUGUCUGAAGAUAUACUGGGACAAGCCUCAUGUUUUAACUUCGCUUCGUUAAGGAUAUAUGACGAUUCGAAUAUGCCUCUCAUUACAGAAAUCAAGCGGUGAUUUUGAACAAACUCUCCAUUGACUUUCUAUGGAGAGUUUUCAGACUUCGUGUUGGUCUGAGGAAAUUUGCCAAAAUUCUAUAAAUCUCACAACAAUGAUUGUGACAUUUUC
Long non-coding RNA from Oreochromis aureus, 349 nucleotides. The record is from Ensembl. NCBI's taxonomy places the organism in Eukaryota, Metazoa, Chordata, Actinopteri, Cichliformes, Cichlidae.